This 491-nucleotide ribosomal RNA is filed under the name uncultured bacterium. Its description in RNAcentral is "bacterial SSU rRNA". It matches the Rfam family "Bacterial small subunit ribosomal RNA", at positions 29 to 511 of the family's 1533-position model. The record is from RNAcentral.
AACAAACGCUGGCGGCGUGUCUUAAGCAUGCAAGUCGAGCGGCAAGGGCAGCAAUGCCCCUAGAGCGGCGGACUGGUGAGUAACGCGUGGGUGAUCUACCUAGGGCAUGGGGAUAGCCAUUAGAAAUAGUGGGUAAUACCGAAUACGUUCGCAUGGAUGCGUCCAUGCGAGGAAAGGUGCUACGGCACCGGCCUAUGAUGAGCUUGCGUCUGAUUAGCUAGUUGGUGAGGUAAAGGCCCACCAAGGCGAUGAUCGGUAGCCGGCCUGAGAGGGUGUACGGCCACACUGGGACUGAGAUACGGCUCAGACUCCUACGGGAGGCAGCAGCUAAGAAUAUUCCGCAAUGGACGAAAGUCUGACGGAGCGACGCCGCGUGGAUGAUGAAGGCCGAAAGGUUGUAAAGUCCUUUUGCUGGGGAAGAAUAAGCGUGGGAGGGAAUGCCCGCGUGAUGACAUGAACCGGCGAAUAAGCCCCGGCUAACUACGUGCCAG